Molecule: small RNA, 490 nt
Filed under: Desulfallas thermosapovorans DSM 6562
Lineage: Bacteria; Bacillati; Bacillota; Clostridia; Eubacteriales; Desulfallaceae
Source: RNAcentral
UUUAUGCUGCGAACAAGUGACGCAGUAUCCUAGUCGGGAACCCUUAUCUGAAGGCGGGCCUAAAAAUCCGUCAAGGGCACAUCGAUGAAGUUCCUGGUGCUGGCUGCCGACGCCCAGUCGGGGGUUGGUGCUGGGAGUUAAGGGGGCGGGGCGACCUGCAAUGGCAUGUGGGCGUUGACCCUGCCCCCGUGGAGACCCAAGUGCGUGGCAGUUUGUUAACGGCAACUGCUAUGGCUUGGGGGUAAACCUGCACGUGGGGAAAGCUGCGUGCAGUGUAGCCUGCCUUGAGUGAUGCCGGUGGAGGCCUGUAAAGCGGCACACAACGCUUGGGCCCAUGCGUUAUGUGCUGUGGGUUUAAACCGCUGUUGCAAAAGAGGCUAGGAUAAGGUACUCCCGUUUAAGGAAAACUUCUAGGCUGUCCGGUUGUCCGGGACGGUACGGGGAUUGCAGUGUGGACUAAGUGGUAAUCCAGCCCCAAAAUUAACUUUUG